This 1576-nucleotide ribosomal RNA is filed under the name Limosilactobacillus fermentum. RNAcentral describes it as "bacterial SSU rRNA". It matches the Rfam family "Bacterial small subunit ribosomal RNA". The record is from RNAcentral. Lineage: Bacteria; Bacillati; Bacillota; Bacilli; Lactobacillales; Lactobacillaceae.
UAUUAUGAGAGUUUUUCCUGGCUCAGGAUGAACGCCGGCGGUGUGCCUAAUACAUGCAAGUCGAACGCGUUGGCCCAAUUGAUUGAUGGUGCUUGCACCUGAUUGAUUUUGGUCGCCAACGAGUGGCGGACGGGUGAGUAACACGUAGGUAACCUGCCCAGAAGCGGGGGACAACAUCUGGAAACAGAUGCUAAUACCGCAUAACAGCGUUGUUCGCAUGAACAACGCUUAAAAGAUGGCUUCUCGCUAUCACUUCUGGAUGGACCUGCGGUGCAUUAGCUUGUUGGUGGGGUAACGGCCUACCAAGGCGAUGAUGCAUAGCCGAGUUGAGAGACUGAUCGGCCACAAUGGGACUGAGACACGGCCCAUACUCCUACGGGAGGCAGCAGUAGGGAAUCUUCCACAAUGGGCGCAAGCCUGAUGGAGCAACACCGCGUGAGUGAAGAAGGGUUUCGGCUCGUAAAGCUCUGUUGUUAAAGAAGAACACGUAUGAGAGUAACUGUUCAUGCGUUGACGGUAUUUAACCAGAAAGUCACGGCUAACUACGUGCCAGCAGCCGCGGUAAUACGUAGGUGGCAAGCGUUAUCCGGAUUUAUUGGGCGUAAAGAGAGUGCAGGCGGUUUUCUAAGUCUGAUGUGAAAGCCUUCGGCUUAACCGGAGAAGUGCAUCGGAAACUGGAUAACUUGAGUGCAGAAGAGGGUAGUGGAACUCCAUGUGUAGCGGUGGAAUGCGUAGAUAUAUGGAAGAACACCAGUGGCGAAGGCGGCUACCUGGUCUGCAACUGACGCUGAGACUCGAAAGCAUGGGUAGCGAACAGGAUUAGAUACCCUGGUAGUCCAUGCCGUAAACGAUGAGUGCUAGGUGUUGGAGGGUUUCCGCCCUUCAGUGCCGGAGCUAACGCAUUAAGCACUCCGCCUGGGGAGUACGACCGCAAGGUUGAAACUCAAAGGAAUUGACGGGGGCCCGCACAAGCGGUGGAGCAUGUGGUUUUUAAUCGAAGCUACGCGAAGAACCUUACCAGGUCUUGACAUCUUGCGCCAACCCUAGAGAUAGGGCGUUUCCUUCGGGAACGCAAUGACAGGUGGUGCAUGGUCGUCGUCAGCUCGUGUCGUGAGAUGUUGGGUUAAGUCCCGCAACGAGCGCAACCCUUGUUACUAGUUGCCAGCAUUAAGUUGGGCACUCUAGUGAGACUGCCGGUGACAAACCGGAGGAAGGUGGGGACGACGUCAGAUCAUCAUGCCCCUUAUGACCUGGGCUACACACGUGCUACAAUGGACGGUACAACGAGUCGCGAACUCGCGAGGGCAAGCAAAUCUCUUAAAACCGUUCUCAGUUCGGACUGCAGGCUGCAACUCGCCUGCACGAAGUCGGAAUCGCUAGUAAUCGCGGAUCAGCAUGCCGCGGUGAAUACGUUCCCGGGCCUUGUACACACCGCCCGUCACACCAUGAGAGUUUGUAACACCCAAAGUCGGUGGGGUAACCUUUUAGGAGCCAGCCGCCUAAGGUGGGACAGAUGAUUAGGGUGAAGUCGUAACAAGGUAGCCGUAGGAGAACCUGCGGCUGGAUCACCUCCUUU